This 110-nucleotide non-coding RNA is filed under the name Clostridium amylolyticum. RNAcentral's name for it is "SAM-I sequence". It matches the Rfam family "SAM riboswitch aptamer (S box leader)". Rfam says of the family: The SAM riboswitch is found upstream of a number of genes which code for proteins involved in methionine or cysteine biosynthesis in Gram-positive bacteria. The SAM riboswitch acts at the level of transcription termination control. Lineage: Bacteria; Bacillati; Bacillota; Clostridia; Eubacteriales; Clostridiaceae. The record is from Rfam by way of RNAcentral.
UCCUUAUCAAGAGAGACCGAGGGACUGGCCCUAUGACGUUUCAGCAACCACAUGUUUCAUUCGCAUGUAAGGUGCUAAAUCCAGCAGAACUAUGUUCUGGAAGAUGAGGG